RNAcentral lists this ribosomal RNA (469 nucleotides) under uncultured bacterium. RNAcentral describes it as "bacterial SSU rRNA". It matches the Rfam family "Bacterial small subunit ribosomal RNA", at positions 34 to 498 of the family's 1533-position model. The record is from RNAcentral.
CGCUGGCGGCAUGCCUUACACAUGCAAGUCGAACGGCAGCACGGAGCUUGCUCUGGUGGCGAGUGGCGAACGGGUAAGUAAUAUAUCGGAACGUACCCAGGAGUGGGGGAUAACGUAGCGAAAGUUACGCUAAUACCGCAUACGACCCAAGGGUGAAAGUGGGGGAUCGCAAGACCUCAUGCUCAUGGAGCGGCCGAUAUCUGAUUAGCUAGUUGGUGGGGUAAAGGCCUACCAAGGCAACGAUCAGUAGCUGGUCUGAGAGGACGACCAGCCACACUGGAACUGAGACACGGUCCAGACUCCUACGGGAGGCAGCAGUGGGGAAUUUUGGACAAUGGGGGCAACCCUGAUCCAGCAAUGCCGCGUGAGUGAAGAAGGCCUUCGGGUUGUAAAGCUCUUUUGUCAGGGAAGAAAAGGUCGCAGCUAAUAUCUGUGGCUCAUGACGGUACCUGAAGAAUAAGCACCGGCU